Molecule: unclassified non-coding RNA, 377 nt
Filed under: uncultured bacterium
Lineage: Bacteria
Description: contains 16S-23S intergenic spacer region
Source: RNAcentral
UCCGAGUUGACCCCGGCAGUCUCCUGCGAGUCGCCGCCAUUACGCGCUGGCAACACAGGACAAGGGUUGCGCUCGUUGCGGGACUUAACCCAACACCUCACGGCACGAGCUGACGACAGCCAUGCAGCACCUUCCAUCGCGCCCCGAGGGGACCCUCCCUUUCGGGAGGUAGUACGAUGAAUUUAGCCCAGGUAAGGUUCCUCGCGUUGCAUCGAAUUAAGCCACAUGCUCCACCGCUUGUGCGGGCCCCCGUCAAUUCCUUUGAGUUUCAGCCUUGCGGCCGUACUCCCCAGGCGGGGUGCUUAACGCGUUAGCUGCGACGCUGAAAGGGUCGCUCCCCCCAGCAUCUAGCACCCAUCGUUUACGGCGUGGACUAC